Molecule: ribosomal RNA, 272 nt
Filed under: uncultured bacterium
Lineage: Bacteria
Description: partial 16S ribosomal RNA
Rfam family: Bacterial small subunit ribosomal RNA
Source: RNAcentral
AGAGUUUGAUCAUGGCUCAGGAUGAACGCUGGCGGCGUGCCUAAUACAUGCAAGUCGAGCGAACAGAUAAGGAGCUUGCUCCUUUGACGUUAGCGGCGGACGGGUGAGUAACACGUGGGUAACCUACCUAUAAGACUGGGACAACUUCGGGAAACCGGAGCUAAUACCGGAUAACAUUUGGAACCGCAUGGUUCUAAAGUGAAAGAUGGUUUUGCUAUCACUUAUAGAUGGACCCGCGCCGUAUUAGCUAGUUGGUAAGGUAACGGCUUACC